RNAcentral lists this ribosomal RNA (253 nucleotides) under uncultured bacterium. Its description in RNAcentral is "partial 16S ribosomal RNA". It matches the Rfam family "Bacterial small subunit ribosomal RNA", at positions 524 to 776 of the family's 1533-position model. The record is from RNAcentral.
UACGUAGGGGGCUAGCGUUGUCCGGAAUCAUUGGGCGUAAAGAGCGUGUAGGCGGCCCGGUAAGUCCGCUGUAAAAGUCAAAGGCUCAACCUUUGAAUGUCAGUGGAUACUGCCGGGCUAGAGUCCGGAAGAGGCGAGUGGAACUCCUGGUGUAGCGGUGGAAUGCGCAGAUAUCAGGAAGAACACCGAUGGCGAAGGCAGCUCGCUGGGACGGUACUGACGCUGAGACGCGAAAGCGUGGGGAGCGAACAGG